This 253-nucleotide ribosomal RNA is filed under the name uncultured bacterium. RNAcentral's name for it is "partial 16S ribosomal RNA". It matches the Rfam family "Bacterial small subunit ribosomal RNA", at positions 524 to 776 of the family's 1533-position model. The record is from RNAcentral.
UACGGAGGGUGCAAGCGUUAGUCGGAAUUACUGGGCGUAAAGGGUGCGUAGGCGGGACUAUAAGUCAGAUGUGAAAAACCAAAGCUCAACUUUGGCAGUGCAUCUGAAACUGUAGUUCUAGAGGUAUAGCGGAGAAAACGGAAUUCCAUGUGUAGCGGUGAAAUGCGUAGAUAUAUGGAAGAACACCUGUGGCGAAAGCGGUUUUCUAGCUUACACCUGACGCUGAGGCACGAAAGCAAGGGGAGCAAACAGG